CACGUAGGGGGCGAGCGUUGUCCGGAUUUAUUGGGCGUAAAGAGCUCGUAGGCGGCUCGGUAAGUCGGGUGUGAAACCUCCAGGCUCAACCUGGAGACGCCACCUGAUACUGCUGUGGCUAGAGUCCGGUAGGGGAGUGUGGAACUCCUGGUGUAGCGGUGAAAUGCGCAGAUAUCAGGAAGAACACCGAUGGCGAAGGCAGGUCUCUGGGCAUUAACUGACGCUGAGGAGCGAAAGCAUGGGGAGCGAACAGG
Molecule: ribosomal RNA, 254 nt
Filed under: uncultured bacterium
Lineage: Bacteria
Description: partial 16S ribosomal RNA
Rfam family: Bacterial small subunit ribosomal RNA
Source: RNAcentral